RNAcentral lists this ribosomal RNA (253 nucleotides) under uncultured bacterium. RNAcentral's name for it is "partial 16S ribosomal RNA". It matches the Rfam family "Bacterial small subunit ribosomal RNA", at positions 524 to 776 of the family's 1533-position model. The record is from RNAcentral.
UACGUAGGGGGCAAGCGUUGUCCGGAUUCAUUGGGCGUAAAGAGCGUGUAGGCGGCCAGGUAGGUCGGUUGUGAAAACUGGAGGCUCAACCUUCAGAGGUCGACCGAAACCAUCUGGCUAGAGUCCGGGAGAGGAGAGUGGAAUUCCUGGUGUAGCGGUGAAAUGCGCAGAUAUCAGGAAGAACACCCGUGGCGAAGGCGACAUCCUGGACCGGUAUUGACGCUGAGGCGCGAAAGCCAGGGGAGCAAACGGG